This 440-nucleotide ribosomal RNA is filed under the name uncultured bacterium. RNAcentral describes it as "partial 16S ribosomal RNA". It matches the Rfam family "Bacterial small subunit ribosomal RNA", at positions 338 to 795 of the family's 1533-position model. The record is from RNAcentral.
CCUACGGGUGGCAGCAGUGGGGAAUAUUGCACAAUGGGGGAAACCCUGAUGCAGCGACGCCGCGUGAGUGAAGAAGUAUUUCGGUAUGUAAAGCUCUAUCAGCAGGGAAGAAAAUGACGGUAUCUGAUUAAGAAGCCCCGGCAAACUACGUGCCAGCCGCCGCGGUAAUACGGAGGGGGCAAGCGUUAUCCGGAUUUACUGGGUGGAAAGGGAGCGUAGACGGGAGCACAAGUCUGGAGUGAAAGGCCGGGGCUUAACCCCGGAACUGCUUUGGAAACUGUGCAGCUAGAGUGCAGGAGAGGUAAGUGGAAUUCCUAGUGUAGCGGUGAAAUGCGUAGAGAUUAGGAGGAACACUCGUGGCGAAGGCGACUUACUGGACUGUAACUGACGUUGCGGCUCGAAAGCGUGGGGAGCAAACAGGAUUAGAUACCCCUGUAGUC